GGGGGUAUAGCUCAGGGGUAGAGCAUUUGACUGUAGAUCAAGAGGUCCCUGGUUCAAAUCCAGGUGCCCCCU
RNAcentral lists this transfer RNA (72 nucleotides) under Ictidomys tridecemlineatus (thirteen-lined ground squirrel). RNAcentral's name for it is "tRNA-Tyr (GTA) (tRNA-Tyr-GTA-7-1)". It matches the Rfam family "tRNA". Rfam says of the family: Transfer RNA (tRNA) molecules are approximately 80 nucleotides in length. Their secondary structure includes four short double-helical elements and three loops (D, anti-codon, and T loops). Further hydrogen bonds mediate the characteristic L-shaped molecular structure. tRNAs have two regions of fundamental functional importance: the anti-codon, which is responsible for specific mRNA codon recognition, and the 3' end, to which the tRNAs corresponding amino acid is attached (by aminoacyl-tRNA synthetases). tRNAs cope with the degeneracy of the genetic code in two manners: having more than one tRNA (with a specific anti-codon) for a particular amino acid; and 'wobble' base-pairing, i.e. permitting non-standard base-pairing at the 3rd anti-codon position. The record is from Rfam by way of RNAcentral. Lineage: Eukaryota; Metazoa; Chordata; Mammalia; Rodentia; Sciuridae.